GAAAUGCGAUAACUAAUGUGAAUUGCAGAAUUCAGUGAAUCAUCGAGUCUUUGAACGCACAUUGCACCCCCUGGUAUUCCGGGGGGCAUGCCUGUCCGAGCGUCAUUGCUGCCCUCAAGCCCGGCUUGUGUGUUGGGCCCUCGUCCCCCGGCUCCCGGGGGACGGGCCCGAAAGGCAGCGGCGGCACCGCGUCCGGUCCUCGAGCGUAUGGGGCUUCGUCUUCCGCUCCGUAGGCCCGGCCGGCGCCCGCCGACGCAUUUAUUUGCAACUUGUUUUUUUCCAGGUUGACCUCGGAUCAGGUAGGGAUACCCGCUGAACUUAAGC
This 324-nucleotide unclassified non-coding RNA is filed under the name plant metagenome. RNAcentral's name for it is "partial contains 5.8S ribosomal RNA, internal transcribed spacer 2, and large subunit ribosomal RNA". The stretch from base 1 to 105 matches the Rfam family "5.8S ribosomal RNA", at positions 50 to 154 of the family's 154-position model. The record is from RNAcentral.